CAAGCCACACCUAUUUGAGUAAGCAAUUACUCCCUUGAGGGAGAAAAGUCAGAAAACAUAAUGUUGAAAUCUCUAGAACAUAACUGGCAUAUGGAAAUAUUUUCUGAUUAUGAAUUGUCAACUUUAAUUUCAUUUCCAGAUGGCAUGGUCUUAGCUGUUAUACAGUGUUUAUAAAUGUUCUAAAUCAAGGGAAUUUGUGGCAAUCUAUUAGAAUAAAAUAAAAUAUUUGAGUUCUUAAUUUCCUUUAAUUAGGAUAAACUUUUUCUUAAAGUGAAGAGAAUGUUUUUAUUACAUAUUUUUCUUCUGAAAAGAUAGGCUGUAUUUUCUAGCAAUUACGAAUUUGUUGUAUAUGAUGAUCUGGUUCUCGGAACAUUCUUGAAUCUAGUGUUUCUAAGGCAGGUGUGUACAGCAAGAAGUGAAUAACACAAAAAUCAAUCAUGAACGCAUUAUAAGGCAAUUGAGUUUGUCACAACUGCAAAAUAUUGCUGAGUGUGGAUUGCUCUGAAAUCUGAAAAUAUUACUUGUGAAUUGCUUAUAUCCGAAAUGCAGACACAGUGCUGGGUGUUGGUUUACUUGUUUCUGAUUUUUCAACUCUCUUUUCUACGCAAAAGGUGUCCAAACUAUACAGACCCACAGAAUCUAACAGAUGUCUCAGUAGUCCUCCUCCUAGAACUCUCAGAGGAUCCAGAACUGCAUCCAGUCCUCGCUGGGCUGUUCCUGUCCAUGUGCCUCAUCACGGUGCUGGGGAACCUGCUCAUCAUCCUGGCUGUCAGCCCUGACUCCCACCUCUACACCCCCAUGUACUUCUUCCUCUCCAACCUGUCCUUGCCUGACAUCAGUUUCACCCCCACCACAGUCCCCAAGAUGUUUGUGAACAUCCAACCUCACAGCAGAGUCAUCUCCUAUGCCGGCUCCCUGACCCAGAUGUCUUUUUUUGCCGUUUUUGGAGGCAUGGAAGAAAGACAUGCUCCUGAGUGUGAUGGCUGUAAGACUGGUUUGUAGCCAUCUGUCACCCUCUAUAUUAUUCAGUCAUCAUGAACCGGUGUUUCUGUGGCUUCCUAGUUCUGUUGUCUUUUUUUCUCAGUCUUUUAGACUCCCAGCUGUACAAUUUGGUUGCCUUACAAAUUACCUGCUUCAAGGAUGUGGAAAUUCCUGAUUUCUUCUGUGACCCUUCUCAGUUCCCCCACCUUGCAUGUUGUGACACGUUCACUAAUAACAUAGUCAUGUAUUUCCCUGCUGCUGUAUUUGGUUUUCUUCCCACCUUGGGGAUCCUUUUAUCUUACUAUAAAAUUGUUUCCUCCAUUCUGAGGGUUUCAUCAUCAGGUGGGAACUAUAAAGCCUUCUCCACCUGUGGGUCUCACCUGUCAGUUGUGUGCUUAUUUUAUGGAACAGGCAUUGGAGGGUACCUCAAUUCAGAUGUGUCAUCUUCCCCCAGAAAGGGUGCAGUGGCCUCAGUGAUAUACACGGUGGUCACCCCCAUGCUAAACCCCUUCUACAGCCUGAGAAACAGGGAUAUUAAAAGUGUCCUGCGGUGGCCACAAGGCAGAACAGUCUAAUCUCA
Mandrillus leucophaeus (drill) is the source of this 1561-nucleotide RNA transcript. It is a transcript of the gene named olfactory receptor 7E24-like, with no coding region annotated. The transcript has a single exon. NCBI's taxonomy places the organism in Eukaryota, Metazoa, Chordata, Mammalia, Primates, Cercopithecidae. The record is from RefSeq and is a predicted model, not a curated record.